GCUCUCGUGGCCCAGUUGGUUAGUGCGUCGUACUUAUAAAGCGAAGGUCGAGGGUUCGAUCCCCUCCGACAGCA
RNAcentral lists this transfer RNA (74 nucleotides) under Dendronephthya gigantea. RNAcentral describes it as "tRNA-Ile". It matches the Rfam family "tRNA". Rfam says of the family: Transfer RNA (tRNA) molecules are approximately 80 nucleotides in length. Their secondary structure includes four short double-helical elements and three loops (D, anti-codon, and T loops). Lineage: Eukaryota; Metazoa; Cnidaria; Anthozoa; Malacalcyonacea; Nephtheidae. The record is from RNAcentral.